GACGAACGCUGGCGGCGUGCUUAACACAUGCAAGUCGAACGGAAAGGCCCUGCUUUUGUGGGGUGCUCGAGUGGCGAACGGGUGAGUAACACGUGAGUAACCUGCCCUUGACUUUGGGAUAACUUCAGGAAACUGGGGCUAAUACCGGAUAGGAGCUCCUGCUGCAUGGUGGGGGUUGGAUAGUUUCGGCGGUUGGGGAUGGACUCGCGGCUUAUCAGCUUGUUGGUGGGGUAGUGGCUUACCAAGGCUUUGACGGGUAGCCGGCCUGUGAGGGUGACCGGCCACAUUGGGACUGAGAGACGGACCAGAGUCCAACGGGAGGCAGCAGUGGGGAAUAUUGCACAAUGGGCGGAAGCCUGAUGAAGAAACGCCGCGUGCGGGAUGACGGCCUUCGGGUUGUAAACCGCUUUAGCCUGUGACGAAGCGUGAGUGACGGUAAUGGGUAAAGAAGCACCGGCUAACUACGUG
This 468-nucleotide ribosomal RNA is filed under the name uncultured bacterium. Its description in RNAcentral is "partial 16S ribosomal RNA". It matches the Rfam family "Bacterial small subunit ribosomal RNA", at positions 28 to 507 of the family's 1533-position model. The record is from RNAcentral.